AUGCUAAUGACUGGUUUGCUGUUAAUAAAUAUGUGGGUAAAUCUCUGUUUGGGGCUCUCAGCUCUGAAGGCUGUGAGACCCCUGAUUUCCCAUUUCACAUCUCUAUACUUCUGUAUGUGUGUCUUUAAUUCCUCUAGCGCUGCUGGGUUAGGGUCUCCCCAACUGAGCUGGACUUGGCAAUUCUAUUAUCUGUUUUUUAAAAGACACAAAAUGAUAUUGUAGGGCCAUUAAGGAAUAUUCACUAAAGAACUUGCUUUCCCAUUAUAAACAAUUAGAAAAAACUGGACAGAAUUAUUUUAUUCUGAGUUAUUUAUUUUAUUUUAUUUAGAGUUAUUUUAUUCAGAGUUAUUUAUUUUAAUAACUUCAGCUAUUAGGACAAUAGCCAGUAUAUGACUGUGAUCCUAGAGAGAAGGAAAACAAGUGAAGUGAGUUAUAUAAUUAUAUUGGCCUCCUUGGUGGAGGCAAUUUUCAGAUGGCACAGAGAGGGAAACCCAAACAGAACACUGAUAUCACUAAGUGAAGGAGACAGAGUUCAGGAAGACAGACAGAGUUGAGUUCAGGAAGGCUACGUAUCUGGAGUUUGCAGAUCAGAAUACUGUAGAGCAGAGGUUGGCAGACUAUGGUUGUGGACCAAUUCAAGACAUAGUCUUUUUUUGUACAGGUCUAAGAUAAGAAUGAUUUAUACACUUUUGAAAGACUUGUUUUUAAAAAAAGAAUAUAGCAGAGACUAUGUGUGGCCUACAAAGCCUCAAAUAUUUACUAUUUAGCUAUAUAUAGAAGUGUUUCCCAAACCAUGCUAUAUAGGGUGAAGAUAAUCAGAGAAAGUUCCAGAAAUCUGCAGAGCACUCCCUUUUAGGCUUUGGCUGAAUGUUAAUUUGCACAUGAAUAGGGUAAAUUUCCAGGUGACUAGGCAAAGGACAAAUGCCAGGGAGCCAUAAGUUGAGCAAUUCUCAGAACUCACGCAGUACUGGGAGACAUUCAAGUUUCACCCAACCAGAGAGGAGGGAUCUCACUGAAUACUUGGGUGAUCAGUAGAGAUCCUACAAGAUUCACACCUUAAUAUCAAGGAUAAGGUAGCUGAUAUGGUUUGGCUCUGUGUCCCCACCCAAAUCUCAUCUUGAAUUGUAAUCCCUGUGUGUCUAUGGUGGAACCUGGUAGGAGGUGAGUGGAUCAUGGUAGUGGUUUCCCCCAUGCUGUUCUCACGAUAGUGAAUGAAUUCUCAUGAGAUCUGAUGGUUUAAAAGUGUUUGGCAGUUCCCCAUUUGCUUGCUUUCUCUCCUGCCACCACGUAAGCUGUGCCUUGCUUCUCCUUUGCCUCCCACCAUAAUUGUAAGUUUCUUGAGGCCUCCCCAGUCAUGUGAAAUUGUGAGUCAAUUAAACCUCUUUUAUUUGUAAAUUACCCAAUUUCAGGUAGUUCUUUUUAGCUGUGUGAAAUUGGAUUAAUACAGAAAAUUGGUACUGGAAUAGUGAGGUAAU
This 1475-nucleotide long non-coding RNA is filed under the name Macaca mulatta (Rhesus monkey). RNAcentral's name for it is "lncRNA (ENSMMUG00000063980.1)". Lineage: Eukaryota; Metazoa; Chordata; Mammalia; Primates; Cercopithecidae. The record is from RNAcentral.